This is a long non-coding RNA of Entelurus aequoreus (snake pipefish), 1474 nucleotides long. RefSeq lists it as uncharacterized. NCBI's taxonomy places the organism in Eukaryota, Metazoa, Chordata, Actinopteri, Syngnathiformes, Syngnathidae. The record is from RefSeq and is a predicted model, not a curated record. The transcript has 4 exons.
UUCCGUCUCGCAAGCUGGUUUCCUUCCACUCGGCCAACGACAAGUCAACCUGAAGCCGCUUUGGCCUUUUCACUUUCCUUCCUCGCUCCCUCAUGUGCUUCCUCCUUUCCUUUCCUUCUUUCGUCCUCUACUUGCUUGUCUCGCCUACUCCCCCCCCCCCCACCCCCCCCGAAGUAAGAGGAUCACUUUGUUUCCGUCGCCGUCCCGCGUGGACGAGAGGACCGCGUCCGAGCAGAUACUGAUGGGGGUGCACAGCUGCACCACCGCCGCCCCCAUCUCCUCUUGGGUAAGGGAGGGGGAAAGAUUAGGGGGGGGGGGAUAUGGAAGUUGGACAAAAGAGGACACUUGGACACUUUCAUUCCGACUUUUCGGAUGCUGGAAAAUUUAUGGAAAUGCACGAGAAAAGUACUCUGUCCAGCAAACACCCCAGAGAGGAAGACCUCCAUGAAGGAGUGAAGAUGAGAUGAAGAAGGACCAGAAUGUGGAGGAGACUCUCAUCCCCCCCGCCCCCCCAAGCUCCACAUCAUUAUGCAUCAUUACGCCGCGGCAAUAAAACCACUGGAUUGGGGCCUAACUGCUAAAACAUCAAUAGUUUAAUUGAAGAUGACGUGAGCGGAGCCACGAGGCGCACCUGAACGCCUCAUCAAGUGCUGCUUUCAAGUGCCGGAAGAAGCCGGACCGAACUCUUUUGCCUCAUGGAACACUGAGUAGGCACCUUACUGGGUGCUAUGGGUUACAUUGACACGUCUCUAGGGGGCGCCGCAAAGAUGAGGGGGGAAAAAAUAGAUCAAGUCAGAAUAUGUGGGUUGGAUGUGCGCCCUCUACAGGCAAGACUGCCAUACAGCGCACUUCAAGUGGAUAUAACCAAACUGAGAAGUUGGGGUGUAACUGUAAGUGUAAGAGUAAAACAAGUACAUUGCAAAAAGCUGAAGUGAAUUAAUUGACUCAUAUUAUGUUCAACCUAUGGUGAAUGUUUAUAUCCAACUUGGAGAAAGCAAACCACCAGGUUUGAGUUAAUAACCAUGGAGAAAGAGCCUUAGAUGGACAUUUGCAUGUGGACAGGAAUUAGCUCUCUCACAAGAAGGAGCCAUAAAACCAGGCAAAAGUUGUAGCUCUAUCCUGGCGAGGAGAUUCCGUGUUUAUCUUAAACGUCAAACCUACAAGUUAUGGUAAACAUCUGUUGUUUUCCAGUCACCACCCACAAACACCUCCUCACAUGGUCAGGUUGUGCUGUUCUGACUUAGCACACACCCAGACAGAGAAAGAAGGAAUAUAUAACUGAUGGUUUGGCUUCUCCAGGGCAGGAGUUCUUCAUAUUUGACCUGACAUCCUCCCAGAAACUGCAGUCCUAUGUAAUGACGCUCGCUUGUAAUAAAGCAACUUUUGGUUCAGUACAGCGUCUCCGACGUCUCUAUUGAUCCAGCUGCAAUUCCUUGUUGCCCUUCUGCCCGGAAGAGGGCAACAAGACUAGAAA